Molecule: unclassified non-coding RNA, 371 nt
Filed under: uncultured Sphingobacteriaceae bacterium
Lineage: Bacteria; Pseudomonadati; Bacteroidota; Sphingobacteriia; Sphingobacteriales; Sphingobacteriaceae
Description: contains 16S-23S intergenic spacer region
Source: RNAcentral
UCCGGUUUGUCACCGGCAGUCUGGCGUGAGUCCCCAACUUAAUGCUGGCAACACGCCACGGGGGUUGCGCUCGUUGCGGGACUUAACCCAACAUCUCACGGCACGAGCUGACGACAGCCAUGCAGCACCUAGUUUCGUGUCCUUGCGGACUGUCCCAUCUCUGGGACAUUCACUAACUUUCAAGCCCGGGUAAGGUUCCUCGCGUAUCAUCGAAUUAAACCACAUGCUCCUCCGCUUGUGCGGGCCCCCGUCAAUUCCUUUGAGUUUCACCCUUGCGGGCGUACUCCCCAGGUGGAAUACUUAACGCUUUCGCUUAGCCGCUGACUGUAUAUCGCCAACAGCGAGUAUUCAUCGUUUAGGGCGUGGACUAC